GACGAACGCUGGCGGCGUGCUUAACACAUGCAAGUCGAACGGAAAGGCCCUGCUUUUGUGGGGUGCUCGAGUGGCGAAUGGGUGAGUAACACGUGAGUAACCUGCCCUUGACUUUGGGAUAACUUCAGGAAACUGGGGCUAAUACCGGAUAGGAGCUCCUGCUGCAUGGUGGGGGUUGGAAAGUUUCGGCGGUUGGGGAUGGACUCGCGGCUUAUCAGCUUGUUGGUGGGGUAGUGGCUUACCAAGGCUUUGACGGGUAGCCGGCCUGAGAGGGUGACCGGCCACAUUGGGGCUGAGAUGCGGCCCAGACUCCUACGGGAGGCAGCAGUGGGGAAUAUUGCACAAUGGGCGGAAGCCUGAUGCAGCAACGCCGCGUGCGGGAUGACGGCCUUCGGGUUGUAAACCGCUUUCGCCUGUGACGAAGCGUGAGUGACGGUAAUGGGUAAAGAAGCACCGGCUAACUACGUG
RNAcentral lists this ribosomal RNA (468 nucleotides) under uncultured bacterium. Its description in RNAcentral is "partial 16S ribosomal RNA". It matches the Rfam family "Bacterial small subunit ribosomal RNA", at positions 28 to 507 of the family's 1533-position model. The record is from RNAcentral.